Non-coding RNA from Myodes glareolus (Bank vole), 1012 nucleotides. Lineage: Eukaryota; Metazoa; Chordata; Mammalia; Rodentia; Cricetidae. The record is from RefSeq and is a predicted model, not a curated record.
UACAGCUGUCUCGGGAACCUGAUUUCCCUUCUCCAAAUGCAGCCGCGCCCUUUGCUUGAGUGCUGAGCAAUUGUAUCCCUGGGGACUCAAAUUGACCAGAUGCCCAGGAAAAAAAAUGUCUCUCCCCUCUGUCGUUGCCCUGUCUUUAAUAAGCCCUAAGUUCAUUGGCAAGCCCAAGUUCUGUGAUGAGGGCUGCAUGGGGGAUUCAGAGCCUAGACAUAGGAAACACCCCCCAUUCUGGGGCUAAAUAUCAUUUAUGAGCAAUGCAGGCCAGGGUCCCACAGCAGCUAAACCCAUCCUCCUCUGUGAGCUAGCCAUCCCAGCACCACAGCGGCAAGGAUGGGAUGGAUCAGUGGGAAAGCAUAGCCUCCAUGGUCAGUGAUGCCUCUGACGAGGAAUCUCCGAUAAAGCUCAGCUAGCAGCCUCCAGGGAAGCCUCUGAGAAACUGCUCAUCAGAUUUAGAACUCUGGAGUCUGGACCUCCAACCAAAUGUUCCCUAAAAAUUCAGAUCCCAUCUCCUCCACCCUUCCCCACGUAGGCCACCAGGUGGCACCAGCAACAGGGAUUUCAAAACCAAAACUAAACUGGGAAGUCAGAAUUUUUUUGUUUAUGCAAAUGGUUCAUUCCCUACAACAUUCCUCCGGGAAUGGUCACCCACCCCUCCGCUGCCACAGUCCUUCCCUCCCCCUUCCCUCCUCUGCAUGCCCACUCCUUCUUUCAACUUACAGCGCCUGGAGACUGUCAGAAGAGCUGAGGACCCAAAACAAACUGACCUUGAGACAUGCGACUCUUCGCCCUCCUUCUGGUGACCCUAUUCUGCAGCGCAGAGGGCUCCAUCUACAUCCCUCAGAAGCUCUAUGGAGAGGUGACCUCCCCUCUCUAUCCCAAGCCUUACCCCAGUGACUUUGAGGAAACCACUGUGAUCACAGUCCCUGUGGGGUACAGGGUGAAGCUUGUCUUCUGGCAGUUUGAUUUGGAGCCUUCUGAAGGCUGUCUGUAUGACUAUGUCAAG